GAAGGUUGGCUAAUCCUGGUCGGACAUCAGGAGGUUAGUGCAAUGGCAUAAGCCAGCUUGACUGCGAGCGUGACGGCGCGAGCAGGUGCGAAAGCAGGUCAUAGUGAUCCGGUGGUUCUGAAUGGAAGGGCCAUCGCUCAACGGAUAAAAGGUACUCCGGGGAUAACAGGCUGAUACCGCCCAAGAGUUCAUAUCGACGGCGGUGUUUGGCACCUCGAUGUCGGCUCAUCACAUCCUGGGGCUGAAGUAGGUCCCAAGGGUAUGGCUGUUCGCCAUUUAAAGUGGUACGCGAGCUGGGUUUAGAACGUCGUGAGACAGUUCGGUCCCUAUCUGCCGUGGGCGCUGGAGAACUGAGGGGGGCUGCUCCUAGUACGAGAGGACCGGAGUGGACGCAUCACUGGUGUUCGGGUUGUCAUGCCAAUGGCACUGCCCGGUAGCUAAAUGCGGAAGAGAUAAGUGCUGAAAGCAUCUAAGCACGAAACUUGCCCCGAGAUGAGUUCUCCCUGACUCCUUGAGAGUCCUGAAGGAACGUUGAAGACGACGACGUUGAUAGGCCGGGUGUGUAAGCGCAGCGAUGCGUUGAGCUAACCGGUACUAAUGAACCGUGAGGCUUAACCUUACAACGCCGAAG
RNAcentral lists this ribosomal RNA (631 nucleotides) under Escherichia coli. RNAcentral's name for it is "partial 23S ribosomal RNA". It matches the Rfam family "Bacterial large subunit ribosomal RNA", at positions 2312 to 2925 of the family's 2925-position model. Lineage: Bacteria; Pseudomonadati; Pseudomonadota; Gammaproteobacteria; Enterobacterales; Enterobacteriaceae. The record is from RNAcentral.